RNAcentral lists this ribosomal RNA (857 nucleotides) under uncultured soil archaeon. RNAcentral describes it as "bacterial SSU rRNA". It matches the Rfam family "Archaeal small subunit ribosomal RNA", at positions 23 to 859 of the family's 1478-position model. The record is from RNAcentral.
CCGACUGCUAUCGGAUGAGAUUUAGCCAUGCGAGUCGAGCGUCCCCUUGUUGCGGGGGCGUGGCGUACGGCUCAGUAACACGUAGUCAACCUGCCNUGGAGACGUGGACAACCCCGGGAAACUGGGAUUAAUCCAUGAUAGGUCAUCCCAUCUGGAAGGGAGGGAUGGCUUAAAGGGGUGCGCGAGCUUCUUUCGUGCAUUCGCUCCAGGAUGGGACUGCGACCGAUCAGGCUGUGGCGGGGUAAUGGCCCACCAAACCUGUAACCGGUACGGGCCUUGAGAGAGGGGGCCCGGAGAUGGACACUGAGAGAAGGGUCCAGGUCCUACGGGGCGCAGCAGGCGCGAAACCUUCGCAAUGCGCGAAAGCGUGACGAGGUUAAUCCGAGUGAUCCCCGCUUAGGGGAUCUUUUUCCAGCUGUAAAAAGGCCGGGGAAUAAGGGGAGGGCAAGUCUGGUGUCAGCCGCCGCGGUAAUACCAGCUCCUCGAGUGGUCGGGGCGAUUAUUGGGCCUAAAGCAUCCGUAGCCCGUUCUGUAGGUCUUCCGUUAAAUCCAGCGGCUUAACCGUUGGCAGGCGGAGGAUACCGCAGGACUAGGAGGCGGGAGAGGUGGGCGGUACUCUACGUGUAGGGGUAAAAUCCUUUGAUCCGUAGAAGACCACCAGUGGCGAAGGCGGCCCACCAGAACGCGCUCGACGGUGAGGGAUGAAAGCUGGGGGAGCGAACCGGAUUAGAUACCCGGGUAGUCCCAGCCGUAAACGAUGCGAGCUAGAUGAUCCAAUCGCAAAUCGCGAUUGGAGUGUCGCAGGGAAGCCGUUAAGCUAGCCGCCUGGGGAGUACGGUCGCAAGACUGAAACUUAA